CUUAUCGUGCCCGAUUUCUGACUCUCCUUCAACUCCGCUUCCGUUUCUGCUCUUGAAUUUCGCCAUGAAACUGAGCUCGUUAACCGCAACACAAAUCUGUUCCACGCUGGAAACCGUAUCGAUCAUCGCCGCGGCAACAGGACUGAGAAGAGCUCUGGAAAGUUGAAGCGUGAAGAAAUAAGAGCAGAAAACCACCAGUUGGACUGGGGAGGAGAUGAUGGGGGCAGUGUGCUAAAAUGCGCCAUUAUGAUUAACCAAUGAGAGGUAGGUGAUGGAAACAGGCCUUGAGUUUGGAUGGAAUUGCCUUGGUUGCCACUGAGGUAGGCGUAGGGGGUGG
Molecule: long non-coding RNA, 337 nt
Organism: Salvia miltiorrhiza (redroot sage)
Lineage: Eukaryota; Viridiplantae; Streptophyta; Magnoliopsida; Lamiales; Lamiaceae
Exons: 3
Source: RefSeq, a predicted model, not a curated record